Long non-coding RNA from Pangasianodon hypophthalmus (striped catfish), 250 nucleotides. RefSeq lists it as uncharacterized. The record is from RefSeq and is a predicted model, not a curated record. The transcript has 3 exons. NCBI's taxonomy places the organism in Eukaryota, Metazoa, Chordata, Actinopteri, Siluriformes, Pangasiidae.
UCUCCCAAAGCAACUUUUAAUCCUGUAGUGAUCUGUCUGGGAACAGCGUUGGUAAUGUGUGGGAUUGUGAUCUCUGUUCAAGCUGUUUUACUCUGUAAAAGGAAAAACUGUGAUCAAUACAGAGAGAGAAUUCAGCAUGGUGCUGUGAUAAACACUGAGAAGACGAACACUCAGGACCGAGACUCUGUGGAGCUGAAUUACGCUGCCUUACACUUUAAUGAACGGAAAACUAAAAGAGCGAGAGAAAAUC